GUGCUACAGCUGCUUGCAGUGUGGCUGUUAGAGUUUGACUACACAUAAAUAUUAACUCAAUGAGUCCUUAUGGUAGAUGUUGGUGACAAUUGAUUUACUGUAGGAGUAGAAUGUGCAUCUAGAUGGAAUCUAUCAAUCCUAACAGAAGGAAGUAGUCCUAUGAGAUUUAAGAAGCUGAGUCCUUAAGUCUAUGACCAUAGUAGUGUGAUUAAUGAAAAAAAAAAUUUAUGAG
This 232-nucleotide long non-coding RNA is filed under the name Elaeis guineensis (African oil palm). RNAcentral describes it as "long non-coding RNA (EGUI_LNC058353)". The record is from RNAcentral. Lineage: Eukaryota; Viridiplantae; Streptophyta; Magnoliopsida; Arecales; Arecaceae.